Molecule: ribosomal RNA, 505 nt
Filed under: uncultured bacterium
Lineage: Bacteria
Description: partial 16S ribosomal RNA
Rfam family: Bacterial small subunit ribosomal RNA
Source: RNAcentral
GACGAACGCUGGCGGCGUGCCUAAUACAUGCAAGUAGAACGCACAGUUUAUACCGUAGCUUGCUACACCAUAGACUGUGAGUUGCGAACGGGUGAGUAACGCGUAGGUAACCUGCCUGGUAGCGGGGGAUAACUAUUGGAAACGAUAGCUAAUACCGCAUAAUAUUGAUUAUUGCGUGAUAAUUGAUUGAAAGAUGCUAUUGCAUCACUACCAGAUGGACCUGCGUUGUAUUAGCUAGUAGGUGAGGUAACGGCUCACCUAGGCGACGAUACAUAGCCGACCUGAGAGGGUGAUCGGCCACACUGGGACUGAGACACGGCCCAGACUCCUACGGGAGGCAGCAGUAGGGAAUCUUCGGCAAUGGACGAAAGUCUGACCGAGCAACGCCGCGUGAGUGAAGAAGGUUUUCGGAUCGUAAAGCUCUGUUGUAAGAGAAGAACGGGUGUGAGAGUGGAAAGUUCACACUGUGACGGUAUCUUACCAGAAAGGGACGGCUAACUACGUG